ACAGAUCGUUCAGAGUUUGAUCCUGGCUCAGGACGAACGCUGGCGGCGUGCUUAACACAUGCAAGUCGAACGGAACUUCUUGGAUAGAGACUUCGGUCAAUUGAAUUGAAGUUUAGUGGCGGACUGGUGAGUAACGCGUGAGGAACCUGCCUUUCAGAGGGGGACAACGGUUGGAAACGACUGCUAAUACCGCAUGAUACAUCGAGGGGGCAUCCCCUUGAUGUCAAAGAUUUUAUCGCUGAAAGAUGGCCUCGCGUCCCAUUAGAUAGUUGGCGGGGUAACGGCCCACCAAGUCGACGAUGGGUAGCCGGACUGAGAGGUUGACCGGCCACAUUGGGACUGAGAUACGGCCCAG
This 355-nucleotide ribosomal RNA is filed under the name uncultured bacterium. RNAcentral describes it as "bacterial SSU rRNA". It matches the Rfam family "Bacterial small subunit ribosomal RNA", at positions 1 to 334 of the family's 1533-position model. The record is from RNAcentral.